AGGCAGCAGUGGGGAAUAUUGGACAAUGGGCGCAAGCCUGAUCCAGCCAUGCCGCGUGAGUGAUGAAGGCCCUAGGGUUGUAAAGCUCUUUCACCGGUGAAGAUAAUGACGGUAACCGGAGAAGAAGCCCCGGCUAACUUCGUGCCAGCAGCCGCGGUAA
RNAcentral lists this ribosomal RNA (160 nucleotides) under uncultured bacterium. Its description in RNAcentral is "partial 16S ribosomal RNA". It matches the Rfam family "Bacterial small subunit ribosomal RNA", at positions 346 to 523 of the family's 1533-position model. The record is from RNAcentral.